GCUACUUUGCUGACGAGCGGCGGACGGGUGAGUAAUGCUUGGGAACAUGCCUUGAGGUGGGGGACAACAGUUGGAAACGACUGCUAAUACCGCAUAAUGUCUACGGACCAAAGGGGGCUUCGGCUCUCGCCUUUAGAUUGGCCCAAGUGGGAUUAGCUAGUUGGUGAGGUAAUGGCUCACCAAGGCGACGAUCCCUAGCUGGUUUGAGAGGAUGAUCAGCCACACUGGGACUGAGACACGGCCCAGACUCCUACGGGAGGCAGCAGUGGGGAAUAUUGCACAAUGGGCGCAAGCCUGAUGCAGCCAUGCCGCGUGUGUGAAGAAGGCCUUCGGGUUGUAAAGCACUUUCAGUCAGGAGGAAAGGUUAACGGUUAAUACCCGUUAGCUGUGACGUUACUGACAGAAGAAGCACCGGCUAACUCCGUGCCAGCAGCCGCGGUAAUACGGAGGGUGCGAGCGUUAAUCGGAAUUACUGGGCGUAAAGCGUACGCAGGCGGUUUGUUAAGCGAGAUGUGAAAGCCCCGGGCUCAACCUGGGAACUGCAUUUCGAACUGGCAAACUAGAGUGUGAUAGAGGGUGGUAGAAUUUCAGGUGUAGCGGUGAAAUGCGUAGAGAUCUGAAGGAAUACCGAUGGCGAAGGCAGCCACCUGGGUCAACACUGACGCUCAUGUACGAAAGCGUGGGGAGCAAACGGGAUUAGAUACCCCGGUAGUCCACGCCGUAAACGAUGUCUACUAGAAGCUCGGAGCCUCGGUUCUGUUUUUCAAAGCUAACGCAUUAAGUAGACCGCCUGGGGAGUACGGCCGCAAGGUUAAAACUCAAAUGAAUUGACGGGGGCCCGCACAAGCGGUGGAGCAUGUGGUUUAAUUCGAUGCAACGCGAAGAACCUUACCUACACUUGACAUACAGAGAACUU
Molecule: ribosomal RNA, 916 nt
Filed under: Pseudoalteromonas sp.
Lineage: Bacteria; Pseudomonadati; Pseudomonadota; Gammaproteobacteria; Alteromonadales; Pseudoalteromonadaceae
Description: bacterial SSU rRNA
Rfam family: Bacterial small subunit ribosomal RNA
Source: RNAcentral